RNAcentral lists this ribosomal RNA (372 nucleotides) under uncultured Glomeromycotina. Its description in RNAcentral is "LSU rRNA". Lineage: Eukaryota; Fungi; Glomeromycota. The record is from RNAcentral.
UUGAAAGGGAAACGAUUGAAGUCAGUCGUACCUAUGGGUAAUCAGCCUUUUGGGUGUGAUUUUGUGGAGCGUGAGGAGUUAAACGCCUUCAUGCCUGCAUAUUCGUGCACUUUGGGUGUACUUGCCCGUGUGUAAGUUAACAUCAAUUUUGAUGGUCAUAAAAUGAUCGGGGGAAUGUAGCUUCGGUCUCGUAUCGGAGUGUUAUAGAUCUUGGUAGAUGUGACGAUUGGGAUCGAGGAUUGCAACGAAUACCCUCUGGGCUAUCCGUCUGUCCUCUGAAAGUCGCUCGGGUGUCGAAAGCUUGCUUAUGGCUAUUCGAGUUGGCGGUCAACAGGUUAGAACGUGAUUAUAUUCGUUAAGGAUGUUGACGUA